UACGUAGGGUGCAAGCGUUAAUCGGAAUUACUGGGCGUAAAGCGUGCGCAGGCGGUUUUGUAAGUCUGUUGUGAAAUCCCCGGGCUCAACCUGGGAAUGGCAAUGGAGACUGCAAGGCUAGAGUUUGGCAGAGGGGGGUAGAAUUCCACGUGUAGCAGUGAAAUGCGUAGAGAUGUGGAGGAACACCGAUGGCGAAGGCAGCCCCCUGGGUCAAAACUGACGCUCAUGCACGAAAGCGUGGGGAGCAAACAGG
RNAcentral lists this ribosomal RNA (253 nucleotides) under uncultured bacterium. RNAcentral's name for it is "partial 16S ribosomal RNA". It matches the Rfam family "Bacterial small subunit ribosomal RNA", at positions 524 to 776 of the family's 1533-position model. The record is from RNAcentral.